This 403-nucleotide ribosomal RNA is filed under the name bacterium. RNAcentral describes it as "partial 16S ribosomal RNA". It matches the Rfam family "Bacterial small subunit ribosomal RNA", at positions 355 to 776 of the family's 1533-position model. The record is from RNAcentral.
UGGGGAAUAUUGCACAAUGGGGGAAACCCUGAUGCAGCGACGCCGCGUGAACGAAGAAGGUAUUCGUAUCGCAAAGUUCUGUCCUAUGGGAAGAUAAUGACAGUACCAUAGAAGAAAGCUCCGGCUAAAUACGUGCCAGCAGCCGCGGUAAUACGUAUGGAGCGAGCGUUGUCCGGAAUUAUUGGGCGUAAAGGGUACGCAGGCGGUUUAAUAAGUAGAAUGUUAAAGAUCGGGGCGCAACCCCGCAAAGCAUUGGAAACUGAUAAACUUGAGUAGUGGAGAGGAAAGUGGAAUUGCUAGUGUAGUGGUGAAAUACGUAGAUAUUAGGAGGAAUACCAGUAGCGAAGGCGACUUUCUGGACACAAACUGACGCUGAGGUACGAAAGCGUGGGGAGCAAACAGG